This 541-nucleotide ribosomal RNA is filed under the name uncultured Gallionellaceae bacterium. RNAcentral describes it as "bacterial SSU rRNA". It matches the Rfam family "Bacterial small subunit ribosomal RNA", at positions 135 to 671 of the family's 1533-position model. The record is from RNAcentral. Lineage: Bacteria; Pseudomonadati; Pseudomonadota; Betaproteobacteria; Nitrosomonadales; Gallionellaceae.
AAUGGGGGAUAACGUAGCGAAAGUUACGCUAAUACCGCAUAUGCCCUGAGGGGGAAAGGAGGGGAUCGUAAGACCUUUCGCUUUCGGAGUGGCCGAUAUCAGAUUAGCUAGUUGGUGGGGUAAAGGCUCACCAAGGCGACGAUCUGUAGCUGGUCUGAGAGGACGACCAGCCACACUGGGACUGAGACACGGCCCAGACUCCUACGGGAGGCAGCAGUGGGGAAUUUUGGACAAUGGGCGAAAGCCUGAUCCAGCCAUGCCGCGUGAGUGAAGAAGGCCUUCGGGUUGUAAAGCUCUUUCGGACAGAAAGAAAUCCUAUUCGCUAAUACCGGGUGGGGAUGACGGUACUGUAAGAAGAAGCACCGGCUAACUACGUGCCAGCAGCCGCGGUAAUACGUAGGGUGCGAGCGUUAAUCGGAAUUACUGGGCGUAAAGCGUGCGCAGGCGGUUUUGUAAGACAGGUGUGAAAUCCCCGGGCUUAACCUGGGAACUGCAUUUGUGACUGCAAGGCUAGAGUACGGCAGAGGGGGGUAGAAUUCCA